This 71-nucleotide small nucleolar RNA is filed under the name Gallus gallus (chicken). Its description in RNAcentral is "GGN120 snoRNA". It matches the Rfam family "Small nucleolar RNA SNORA84", at positions 64 to 134 of the family's 134-position model. The record is from RNAcentral. Lineage: Eukaryota; Metazoa; Chordata; Aves; Galliformes; Phasianidae.
GUGAUACUGUGAUUUACGCAUGGAGUCUGUGAUGUGUGAGCAGCUUCCAUAGCCCGGUCACAGUUACAGAC